AUGGGCCGCCGCCGCCGCCAACCCUCCUCGCCGUCGCCGGCGGCGGAGCAUCCGCUGGAAGACGACGACCUACUGCGCGAGAUCAUCCUCCGCCUACCCCCACAGCCGCCCUACCUCCUGCGCGCCUCCCUCGUCGGCAAGCGCUGGCGACAGAUCGCCACCGACCCCAAGUUCCUCCGCCGCUUCCGCGUCCACCACCGGAAGCCUCCCCUCCUCGGGGACUUCUCGUAUGAGGACGGGAGACUCUCGUUCAGAUCCACCCUGGACCUGCCCUACCGCAUCCCUCCCGACCACUUCUCCCUACAAGUCAACGGCCGCGUGCCAUGGAGGUUGGUCGACUGCCGCCACGGACGCGUGCUCCUCAUCAACAGCGAGAUGCGUCAGGUCAUUGUGUGGGACCCCUUGACUGGCGACCGCUCCCUCCUGUCCCCUCCGCCGGCGUUUGACGACAUGCACACUGCAGCGGUGCUCUGCGCUGCCGGCGAGCAGGGCCACGCGCAUGGUGCCUGCCACUCGAGCCCUUUUAAAGUGGUCGUGGUGGACAUCUGCGAGCACGGCGAUGAAACCGUCGUCUUCGUGAGUGUUUACUCAUCAGAGACUGGCGUAUGGAGUGAUCUCCUCUCAACAACGCUUGCAUCUAUGGGCAUUGCUGUUGGUAAUCGCAGCACACUUGUUGGUAACACCCUUCGCUGGUUGCUUCUGAUGAGUAACAACAUACUUGAGUUUGAUAUGGAUAGACAGACGCUAGCUGUGAUCAAAAGGACACCUGGUGUUCGUGCGGAUGACAGUGCUUGGAUCAUCCAGGCAGACGAUGGCGGUGUUGGCUUCUCUGCUUUGUCGUGCGCCCACUGCCAGUAUGUCUACUGCUACCACCAACCCUGUUUCCGAAUGUGGGAUAGGAAGGACAAUUGCUAUGGUGUUGCCGUAUGGAUGUUGAGGAAAUCCAUUGAACUGCAGAAGCUAAUUGGGUUGGGGUUUAAGAUUGAGAGGAACUGGUCACAUAUAGUGCGUUAG
RNAcentral lists this ribosomal RNA (1014 nucleotides) under Triticum aestivum (bread wheat). Its description in RNAcentral is "partial small subunit ribosomal RNA". Lineage: Eukaryota; Viridiplantae; Streptophyta; Magnoliopsida; Poales; Poaceae. The record is from RNAcentral.